ACGGUAGCUAAUACCGGAUAAUUCCUUUUGGCUCCUGCCAAGAGGAUGAAAGACGGAGCAAUCUGUCACUGCGGGAUGGGCCUGCGGCGCAUUAGCUAGUUGGUGAGGUAACGGCUCACCAAGGCGACGAUGCGUAGCCGACCUGAGAGGGUGAACGGCCACACUGGGACUGAGACACGGCCCAGACUCCUACGGGAGGCAGCAGUAGGGAAUCUUCCGCAAUGGGCGAAAGCCUGACGGAGCAACGCCGCGUGAGUGAUGAAGGUUUUCGGAUCGUAAAGCUCUGUUGCCAGGGAAGAACGUCCGGUAGAGUAACUGCUACCGGAGUGACGGUACCUGAGAAGAAAGCCCCGGCUAACUACGUGCCAGCAGCCGCGGUAAUACGUAGGGGGCAAGCGUUGUCCGGAAUUAUUGGGCGUAAAGCGCGCGCAGGCGGCUAUUUAAGUCUGGUGUUUAAACCAUGGGCUCAACCUGUGGUCGCACUGGAAACUGGGUGGCUUGAGUACAGAAGAGGAAAGUGGAAUUCCACGUGUAGCGGUGAAAUGCGUAGAGAUGUGGAGGAACACCAGUGGCGAAGGCGACUUUCUGGGCUGUAACUGACGCUGAGGCGCGAAAGCGUGGGGAGCAACAGGAUUAGAUACCCUGGUAGUCCACGCCGUAAACGAUGAGUGCUAGGUGUUAGGGGUUUCGAUACCCUUGGUGCCGAAGUUAACACAGUAAGCACUCCGCCUGGGGAGUACGGUCGCAAGACUGAAACUCAAAGGAAUUGAC
This 771-nucleotide ribosomal RNA is filed under the name Paenibacillus sp. 16B-10. Its description in RNAcentral is "bacterial SSU rRNA". It matches the Rfam family "Bacterial small subunit ribosomal RNA", at positions 156 to 914 of the family's 1533-position model. Lineage: Bacteria; Bacillati; Bacillota; Bacilli; Caryophanales; Paenibacillaceae. The record is from RNAcentral.